Molecule: long non-coding RNA, 731 nt
Filed under: Homo sapiens (human)
Lineage: Eukaryota; Metazoa; Chordata; Mammalia; Primates; Hominidae
Description: HSALNT0252505
Source: RNAcentral
GUUUGCUUCCCGUUCCACCAUAAUUGUAAGUUUCCUUAGGCCUCCACAUCCAGGCUGAACUGUGAGUUAAUAAAACUUCUUUCCUUUGCCCAGUGUCAGGUUCUGUGCUCUGUCUUUCCUCUAGCCCUCAGCUUAAUAGGUUGUGACCAAGGCAAUUCAAGGAAUUGUCCCAGGAAUAUUAUCAGCUGUUACUAAUGGAAAUCAAGGGGAGGGGAACUGGUGGAAUGAGUACCUGGCAAAAGGAAAGCAGUUGUCAUGACUGGCCAAGACUAAAGGCAACAGAGGAAACUUGAAAUCUGUAAGUGUCAUAAAAAUUGCAAGUACUGUUGACUCAGAUGUACUGAGAGGUUCACAUUAUCACUGCCAACUCUGCUACGUUGCCUACAAAGGAAUCCACACACCAACACUGGUCAGAAGACUUUCACUGGAGAUAUCCCUCCCUAUGCCUGGAAGAAAGGAAUAUUCUUAUCUCUGAAGACAUUGGGAAACACAAUAAUAGCUGAAAAACAGGCCUUGCUAACUUCUCUCCAGUUUAUUAUUAGAUGAUACAUUUUUAUCCAAUCAUAUUUCUCCAUCACUACCCACUUCUCCAUCAGAACUAGCCUUAAAAUGCAUAGGUUUACAUAUUUUUUAGUCUUCAUUUCCACAGUUCCCUUGUCACACUAAAACUAUAUUAAGUAAAUUUAUAUGUUUUUCUCUUGUCCAUUUGUCUUUUGUUAUAGGGGCUCAAC